UGAACUUCCCAUCCUUCUGCCUCUACCUC
RNAcentral lists this non-coding RNA (29 nucleotides) under Mus musculus (house mouse). Lineage: Eukaryota; Metazoa; Chordata; Mammalia; Rodentia; Muridae. The record is from RNAcentral.